AAACUUUAUAGGCAAACCUAUAGAAAUGUAGGGACGCAAAGCUAAAGGGACUAAUGUCUUAAAUGACGAUGUCAGCCAGCUGCCAGA
This 87-nucleotide non-coding RNA is filed under the name Paenibacillus pini. RNAcentral describes it as "c-di-GMP sequence". It matches the Rfam family "c-di-GMP-I riboswitch aptamer". Rfam says of the family: GEMM was predicted in a large-scale screen for bacterial structured RNA regulatory elements. Genes associated with GEMM are involved in a diverse array of functions, including chemotaxis regulation, signal transduction, secretion and chitin. RNAcentral also lists the same sequence under 1 other name. Lineage: Bacteria; Bacillati; Bacillota; Bacilli; Caryophanales; Paenibacillaceae. The record is from RNAcentral.